Molecule: ribosomal RNA, 548 nt
Filed under: uncultured archaeon
Lineage: Archaea
Description: bacterial SSU rRNA
Rfam family: Archaeal small subunit ribosomal RNA
Source: RNAcentral
UGCAGCAGGCGCGAAAACUUUACAAUGCGGGAAACCGUGAUAAGGGGACACCGAGUGCCUGCAUCAUAUGCUGGCUGUCCAGGUGUGUAAAAUACACCUGUUAGCAAGGGCCGGGCAAGACCGGUGCCAGCCGCCGCGGUAACACCGGCGGCCCGAGUGGUGAUCGUGAUUAUUGGGUCUAAAGGGUCCGUAGCCGGUUUGGUCAGUCCUCCGGGAAAUCUGAUAGCUUAACUAUUAGGCUUUCGGAGGAUACUGCCAGACUUGGAACCGGGAGAGGUAAGAGGUACUACAGGGGUAGGAGUGAAAUCUUGUAAUCCCUGUGGGACCACCUGUGGCGAAGGCGUCUUACCAGAACGGGUUCGACGGUGAGGGACGAAAGCUGGGGGCACGAACCGGAUUAGAUACCCGGGUAGUCCCAGCCGUAAACGAUGCUCGCUAGGUGUCAGGCAUGGCGCGACCGUGUCUGGUGCCGCAGGGAAGCCGUGAAGCGAGCCACCUGGGAAGUACGGCCGCAAGGCUGAAACUUAAAGGAAUUGGCGGGGGAGCAC